UGUUACGUGGUGAUUUGGUCGACCGGCUUGCGCCCACGUUAAAAAAACCCGCUAAAAGGUCGGAGCCA
Molecule: non-coding RNA, 68 nt
Filed under: marine eukaryotic metagenome
Description: SAM riboswitch (alpha-proteobacteria)
Rfam family: Alpha-proteobacteria SAM riboswitch aptamer
About the family: This family is a riboswitch found predominantly in alpha-proteobacteria that binds S-adenosyl methionine (SAM). This SAM riboswitch is located upstream of the metA and metC genes in Agrobacterium tumefaciens, and other methionine and SAM biosynthesis genes in other alpha-proteobacteria.
Source: RNAcentral